Long non-coding RNA from Lolium rigidum, 300 nucleotides. RefSeq lists it as uncharacterized. NCBI's taxonomy places the organism in Eukaryota, Viridiplantae, Streptophyta, Magnoliopsida, Poales, Poaceae. The record is from RefSeq and is a predicted model, not a curated record. The transcript has 3 exons.
UGGCAGAGCUUCUCCUCUGACAUCCGCACCUCUGAGCAUACUACAUCUCAGGCAUACAUUGAUCACGGAUCCAUGAUAUUCAAAUAUUAUGGUGAUUGGGGACAAUGUUUUUCAUGCCAUGAAGAACUCGAUGCCAAAUGCAAGUUUGCUAAAAUCAUCAUCAUGAGAUGAAGCUCUGACGUUUAAUAGACUAUUCCAGUGGUUACUAAGGAGCAGCCAUUGCAGAAAGAAGGUACAAGACAACAAAUCUCUGAACAUUAUGCAGUGGAAGAGGCUGCAAAAUUGCUUAACAAGUUUUGG